GUCUGAAACGACUCUCGGCAACGGAUAUCUCGGCUCUCGCAUCGAUGAAGAACGUAGCGAAAUGCGAUACUUGGUGUGAAUUGCAGAAUCCNNUGAACC
This 99-nucleotide ribosomal RNA is filed under the name Angelonia hirta. Its description in RNAcentral is "partial 5.8S ribosomal RNA". It matches the Rfam family "5.8S ribosomal RNA", at positions 1 to 90 of the family's 154-position model. Rfam says of the family: 5.8S ribosomal RNA (5.8S rRNA) is a component of the large subunit of the eukaryotic ribosome. It is transcribed by RNA polymerase I as part of the 45S precursor that also contains 18S and 28S rRNA. RNAcentral also lists the same sequence under 1 other name. The record is from RNAcentral. Lineage: Eukaryota; Viridiplantae; Streptophyta; Magnoliopsida; Lamiales; Plantaginaceae.